GAUGAACGCUGGCGGCAUGCCUAAUACAUGCAAGUCGAACGAGAGACCUUCGGGUCUCUAGUGGCGAACGGGUGAGUAACACGUAGGGAACCUGCCCGCGCACCGGGAAUACGCUCUGGAAACGGAGAACAAAUCCCGAUGUACAGGAAGGAGGCAUCUUCUUUCUGUGAAACAUCCUUUAGGGGAUGGGGCGCGGAUGGACCUGCGGUGCAUUAGUUGGUUGGCGGGGUAAAGGCCCACCAAGACGAUGAUGCAUAGCCGGCCUGAGAGGGUGGACGGCCACAUUGGGACUGAGACACGGCCCAG
Molecule: ribosomal RNA, 306 nt
Filed under: uncultured bacterium
Lineage: Bacteria
Description: bacterial SSU rRNA
Rfam family: Bacterial small subunit ribosomal RNA
Source: RNAcentral